Long non-coding RNA from Ictalurus punctatus (channel catfish), 1891 nucleotides. The record is from Ensembl. Lineage: Eukaryota; Metazoa; Chordata; Actinopteri; Siluriformes; Ictaluridae.
GAGACAAAUGUAAGUUGUUCUGUAUAAUGGUGUAAAUGUAAUUUUCUGUUCAUGGGAUGAUGUGAUUUUGUCCCAUUAUUGCUUAGGAUUUCUUUACUUAUUUUAUUCCUGUUUUCUUUGUAUUGGAUGGACUUUUGGUUUUGUUAUUUUGUUUUGUGAGCAUCUGUUUAAUUUUGGAUUCCUGUCUCCCCCUUUGAGAAAAAUGUUGUUUAUUUUUUUUAAUUCUUCAGCAUAGUUUAGUCAAAAUGCUUCCCUGGAAAACUAUUUUUAAUUCAAUUAAAUUCAAUUUUAUUUGUAUAGCGCUUUUACAAUAGACAUUGUCUCAAAGCAGCUUUACAGAAAUAUCAACAUGGUAUACAGAUAUUAAAGGUGCAAAUUUAUCCCAACUGAGCAAGCCACUGAGUGGAGACGGUGGCAAGGAAAAACUCCCUAAGAUGUUUCAAGAGGAAGAAACCUUGAGAGGAAACCGACUCAGAAGGGAAGCCAUCCUCAUCUGGCUGUGUGUCUGAGGCAGUGUGACAGGGAGGAUCCUCUGCACUGCUGCUUGGUGAAGAUCUACUGCAUGUAGUCACGUGCAUUAGCAGAAGUUACCAAGAUAAAUGGAAAUGGAGCACAGACACACCAGCACAGUAACAUUAAUAGAGGGAUGCUUAGAGCAUAUUUCUAAUGCUUUGCUUUACUUGCUUUUAUUGAAAUGUUUCAUAAAGCGUGUUGCAUAAAAUGCAAGAAAGCAAGAAAGAACAGGGUACAUUCUCUAAGUCUGCAAUACCCCCUUAGUAAAAUCUAAGUCUAAAAUAUUUAUGAAAAUAUACCAAAUAUAUAUGAUUAAUGAAAAAAGAAAAUCAAUUAUGCAAUUUUGAUGAAGUGCUGGCAGUGUGGCAGUCAAUAAAGGGGGACACUACAAUAUUGAGCCUUUUCCUGUCUUUCACCACAGACCUGCAAAGCACAUUUAGAGAAGCGGAUGUUUUAUAGCGCUAAACCGCUAACUUACUGACACAUUUUAGCAGUGUUAGAGCUGUGGUAAAAUGGCAGCAAAACACUGUAGACAUUCUGAAAAUAGUUCUGAGCAGAUAUACAGUAUAUAUGGUGUUGCUCAUGGAUGGUCAUUUUACGGCUAUAUCCACCAACCGUGUGCAAACAAAUGCAAUUGAACUGCUACAGUGGAAAUAAAAUGUAGAGCUUUCGAUGUGUAAUAUUAAAAUAGAUAAGUAAUGAAGAAAUAUAAACUGACAAGAUGAUACAUAUAAAUGUAAAAAAUAAAAAAAUAUCAGGACAUGGCAAAGGAAUAGUAUAGAUCAACAGUUAAUCCCAAUAAUUCUCUACAUUUUUGCAUAAAUAUGACCUAAAACAACAUCAGAUUUUCACACAGAAGUCCUAAAAGUAGAUAGAAAGAUGGCUAGUGUAUGCUGUUCACAUGUUUGAACAAAUGAGACAAAAUAUUAUACUUGGUCAUUUAUUUGUUGAGGGAAAUAAUUCAAUGUUACAUAUCUGUGAAUGGCAAAAAUAUGUUAACAUUUGCUUUCAGUACCUGGUGUGACCCCCUCAUGCGGCAAUAACUGCAACUAAACAUUUCUGGUAACUUGAUCAGUCCUGCACAUCGACUUGGAGGAAUUUUAGCCCGUUCCUCAGUACAGAACAGCUUAAAUUCUGGGAUGUUGGUGGGUUUCCACACAUGAACUGCUUGCUUCAGGUCCUUCCACAACAUUUCUAUUGGAUUAAGUUCAGGACUCUGACUUUGACAUGGCCAAAACAUUAACUUUAUUCUUAUUGACCCAUUCUUUGGUAGAACGACUUGUGUGCUUAGGGUCAUUGUAUUGCUGCAUGACCUACUUUCUCUUGAGAUUCAGUUCACGGACAGAUGUCCUGACAUUUUCUUUUAGAAAUCGCUGGU